RNAcentral lists this transfer-messenger RNA (359 nucleotides) under Pseudolabrys sp. It matches the Rfam family "Alphaproteobacteria transfer-messenger RNA". From Rfam's summary of the family: Bacterial tmRNA, also known as 10Sa RNA or SsrA, is named for its dual tRNA and mRNA-like properties. Its role is to liberate the mRNA from a stalled ribosome. The record is from RNAcentral. Lineage: Bacteria; Pseudomonadati; Pseudomonadota; Alphaproteobacteria; Hyphomicrobiales; Xanthobacteraceae.
GCUCUUACUUCGUCAACGAUUAGCCCCUAUAUUCAUUCCUGCCGGGGCAACCCGGCUAUGGCGAUAAACGGACGUCGUAAUAAACCUUUCGGACCCGGGGGCAGUACCCGGCGCCUCCACCCAAACCCGCCUUAAAAACGGGUUUCGGCGGGGGCGAACUAGGAUCGACGAGGGCGUAAAGGACGAACUUUUGCUCGGCAUGGUUCCGCCGUUAUCGGGCCAAAUCGUAGUUGCAAACGACAACUAUGCUCCGGUUGCUCAGGCCGCGUAAGCGGUUUGAAAAACCAAGACUAGAAGUCCUGGCGGGUUAAGCUCCGUCAGGCGGGGUUCGGAGGCACCUGGCAACAGAAGCCUCCACU